UAUUCGGUCGGUCGGCCUUUCAUGAAUCGAUCUUUACCAUUCGCUGGCGGAUCAGGUGGCAGCGUCUUUCCCGGGCGGAACAUCUCCGCCCAGGCGGACAGUCCCGCCAUUGCAUUUUCGGCCAUUUGUAGAGAGUCCGUCCGAUGAUGAAACAGCUUGUUCUUGCCGCCGCGCUCUUCGGCGUAUGCUCCACCGCCGCCAUUGCCGAGGACCGCUACGCCACCCGACCA
This 230-nucleotide small RNA is filed under the name Rhizobium etli. RNAcentral describes it as "miscellaneous other RNA". RNAcentral also lists the same sequence under 1 other name. Lineage: Bacteria; Pseudomonadati; Pseudomonadota; Alphaproteobacteria; Hyphomicrobiales; Rhizobiaceae. The record is from RNAcentral.